CAGCAACUGGAGCUCCUGGGAGGUAGAAGGACCAAGAAGGAGGAAAUUGGGCUGCAGGAUCACUCAGGCCUCAAAUGAACCCUACCUCCCUGCUGUGGGGUUCCACUAAGUUAGAAAGGAUAGACAAAGGGGCAGAAAUGGUGAAACAAAGAUGAAUGGCAACAGUGGUCAAAAGACCAGGCCAGUGCUUCAGGCACCAAUUCUGUAGGAAAGGACAGAAACCAGGAGAAAGCAAGUGGCCACAAUGGCUUCUGUCAUGCCAAUGCCUGGGUGGGCUUGCCUGAUGUUCACAGCUGCCAAAGGAGCCAGGACCCAGAGGUCUAAGGUACAGCCUCUUUCUGAGGGCUUGUUCGGUGCCAGCUCCGAAAGUGACCAGAAGUAUCACUGUAGGACGAGACCAACCACUCUGCACCUCCGUAUCCACCUGCUCAGUGAGCAAAAGCAAUUCAUGGAAUGGUUCGGGGGAGAGAAUACACCAGGAGGGCCAGCACAGGGCAGCACCUGCACAAAGAAUUUGGCUGACAUCUAAGUGGAAUCAAGAGGCAGCUGGACUACAGACAGUCUCUCCCUGGCAAGUCUUAGACUUUCAUUCCUCCCGCCUCCAUCUCUCAAGUCCCAGGACAGAAGAUUUGCACAAGUCAACCUUUCAAUACUGAAGUAGCAUUGGCACAGCAAUACCUGUGUCACAGUCAAUUGCGUGUCUUCAAAGAAUCUGGGGGCAAGGAGCAGGUGUAAAAGGUAAAAAGAGACUUUCGUAAGUUACGUUGAUGCAAUGAUCCUUGGCCACAGAAUCAGUAGCAACGGUGGCUACUGUCCAAGGUUAAACACAACGCUGGGCAGAUGUUUUCUGUGUGAGGCUGCUGUAGUCUGAGUGGGACGGUGGCUGUGACAGCCUUUUGUCAAUAGUUUUUCUAAUUAAUCAUUUGUGAAAUGUUUCUUUCUUGAUUUCACUUUAGUAUCUUGUAAUACUUGACAAAAGCAAUUACACUUUCAUUCAUUCUUCUUUUUUUUUCUUUCAGAACCAGAGUCUCACAUAACCUAAGCUGGACUUGAACUUCUGAUCCUUCUGCCUCCACCUCCUAGCUGCUGAGAUUAUAGGUGUGUACUACCUUGGCAAGACUAUAUUAAUGCUGCCAAGAAUAAAACCCAGGGCCUCGAACAUGCUCCGAAAGCACUCUACAACUGAGCCACAUCCCCAGCUCUCCAUUUUGAUUUUGACAACUGCCACAAAAGUCCUUGAACAGGCCUGGUGGCACUCAUCUGUAAUCCUAACACUAGGUAGGCCACAGCAGGAAAGAUCUCAUGUUUGGGACCUGACUGGGCUACAGAAUGGGUUCAAAGCUAGCCUGGGUAGUGUAAUGAGACCCAUAUUCAAAUUUAAAAACAUGCUUGAACAUGUUAUUGUCAUUUGUGUAAGUUUAAAUGAAGGAGGAAUUCUUAGCAGUGGAACUGCUGGGUCAAAGUGAAUGAGCUUUGAAAAUGUUCAUGCAUGAAACCCUAGGUUUGAUCUUAGCAAUCAAAUGACAUCUUUGACACACAGUGUCAUAUGGUUUUUCUUUGGUUUGUUUUUUGUGUUUUGUUUUCUGAGACAGGAUCUCUCUGUGUAGCCCUGGCUAUCCUGUAGACCAGGCUAGCCUCAAACUCAGAGAUCCUCCUGCCUCUGCCUCCUGAGUGCUGGGAUUAAAGGCGUGCACCAUCAUUGCCUGGCAUUAUAUGCAUUCUUUAAAGCUUUGUGUUUCCAUUUUCAAAGUGUUAGGAAGAUGCACAUAGUAAUUAUCACCAUAAAUGUGUGUGUACUCUUGUGUGUGGGUGCAUACGAAGAGGUAAACACAGAGGGGUGCACAUAGAGGAGAACACACGGAGGUGUGAACAUGGAGGGGUACACGUGGAGGGGUGUACUUAAAGGUUAGAGAUCAAAUUAGGGUGUCACAGGAGCCAUCUAUCUUUUUGUUUUGAUUUUUUUUUUUUGAGUCCCAGGCUGUCCUAGAACUCUCUCUGUAAACCAGGUUGGCCUUAAACUCACAGAAAUCUGCCUGCCUCUGCUUCCCGAGUGCUGGGAUUAUCAACACACAUCACCGUGAUUAGUCCCAUCUUGUCUCUUGCUGGGACCUGGGGCUUGCUGGUGUGACUAGGCUGACUGGCCAGAGACCCCCAGGGGUCCUGGUACACUAAGCCUGUGGGUACUGGGAGCAAGCGGGGGUCCUCAUGCUUUCCCAGAAAGAACACCACUGGUUGAGCUUUCUUUCCAACCCUUAUUCCCUGCCCCUCCCCCUUCUGGCUUCUGUCAGCCUGUAUGGCCCAAGUGAUCUUAUCACCUCACCUUCUCAUAUAGUUGGGGCUGUUAGAGCACACCACUGGCCCCAGUCAUGUCUUAAUCACUUUUUAAAAAGUAAUUUAGUUGGGGGCUGGAGAGAUGGCUCAGUGGUUAAGAGCACUGCUUGUUCUUCCAAAGGUCCGGAGUUCAAUUCCCAGCAACCACAUGGUGGCUCACAGUCAUCUGUAAUGAGAUCUGGUGCCCUCCUCUGGCCUGCAGGCAUACAUGCAGACAGAACACUGUACACAUAAUAAAUAAAUAAAUUUUAAAAAAUAAUUUAAUUAUUUAUAUGUAUUUUGUGUACAUUGCUAUUUUGCUUGCAUGUAUGUCUGUGGGGGUGUCAAAUACCCUGGAACUAGAGUUAGGGACAUUUGUGAGUCACUACCCUGUGGGUCCUGGGAAUUGAACCCAGAUCCUAUGGAAGAGCAGCCAGUGCUCUUAACCUCUGAGCCAUCUCUCCAGCUCCCCCCCAACUUUUAAAAAAUUUAACAAUAUAAUGCAUUUUUUUGUUUGUUUUUCAAAGGCAUGUGCCACCAAUGCCUGUUACCCGCCCCUCACCUGUUUUUAAAAAGUCAGGGUCUC
RNAcentral lists this long non-coding RNA (2896 nucleotides) under Cricetulus griseus (Chinese hamster). Its description in RNAcentral is "lncRNA (ENSCGRG00015032033.1)". The record is from RNAcentral. Lineage: Eukaryota; Metazoa; Chordata; Mammalia; Rodentia; Cricetidae.